Molecule: ribosomal RNA, 816 nt
Filed under: Chrysosporium queenslandicum
Lineage: Eukaryota; Fungi; Ascomycota; Eurotiomycetes; Onygenales; Onygenaceae
Description: eukaryotic LSU rRNA
Rfam family: Eukaryotic large subunit ribosomal RNA
Source: RNAcentral
AACGGCGAGUGAAGCGGCAAAAGCUCAAAUUUGAAAUCUGGCCUCCUUGGGGGUCCGAGUUGUAAUUUGGAGGAGGAUGCUUCGGGGUGCGGCCACCGGCGUAAGUCCCUUGGAACAGGGCGUCAUAGAGGGGUGAGAAUCCCGUCUUGAGCCGCCGGCACGCGCCCAUGCGAAGCUCCUUCAACGAGUCGAGUUGUUUGGGAAUGCAGCUCUAAGUGGGUGGUAAAUUUCAUCUAAAGCUAAAUAUUGGCCGGAGACCGAUAGCGAACAAGUAGAGUGAUCGAAAGGUUAAAAGCACCUUGAAAAGGGAGUUAAACAGCACGUGAAAUUGUUGAAAGGGAAGCGCUUGCAACCAGACUCGACCGCGGGGGCUCAGCGGGCAUGCUUGCCCGUGUACUCCCCCGUGCGCCGGGCCAGCAUCGGUUCGGGCGGCCGGUCAAAGGCCUCUGGAAUGUGUCGCCCUUCGGGGCGUCUUAUAGCCAGGGGUGCAAUGCGGCCAGCCGGGACCGAGGAACGCGCUUCGGCACGGAUGCUGGCGUAAUGGUUGUAAGCGGCCCGUCUUGAAACACGGACCAAGGAGUCUAACAUCCACGCGAGUGUUCGGGUGUCAAACCCGUGCGCGCAGUGAAAGCGAACGGAGGUGGGAGCCCGCAAGGGUGCACCAUCGACCGAUCCUGAAGUCUUCGGAUGGAUUUGAGUAAGAGCGUGGCUGUUGGGACCCGAAAGAUGGUGAACUAUGCCUGAAUAGGGUGAAGCCAGAGGAAACUCUGGUGGAGGCUCGCAGCGGUUCUGACGUGCAAAUCGAUCGUCAAAUUU